UUUAAUUAAAUUAUUAAAUUAAAUUGAAUAAAGUAUUAAAUGUUAAGUCAUUAAAUUGAAAAAAUUUGGCGGUAUUUUAAAAAAUUAGAGGAAUUUGUGGUGUAAAUGAUGAUACACGAUAAGAUAUACUUUUUAUAAAUUUAUGUAUUGCUGUUUAAAAUAAUUUGUUGAAUAAAUUUUAUAAUAUUGAUUUAGAAUAAUAAUUCAAGUCAAAAUGUAGUAUUUUGAAGAAUUUUAUGAAUUACAAUUUUUUAUAUAUUGGAAUUAAUAUAAUUUAAUUUUUAAAAUGAAAAUGGAUUUAAAAGUAAAAUUAAAUUAAUUAAUUUAUUUGAAUAUAUUUUAAAAUAAGU
RNAcentral lists this ribosomal RNA (350 nucleotides) under Mischocyttarus mexicanus cubicola. RNAcentral describes it as "partial 12S ribosomal RNA". The record is from RNAcentral. Lineage: Eukaryota; Metazoa; Arthropoda; Insecta; Hymenoptera; Vespidae.